GAAACAUCCUGCCCGGCGGUGGUGAGAGCACCGCAGGAGGAGACCAGGUUGUUGACGGUGGCGGCGGCGGCGGACGGGACUUCCUCCUUUGACGGGAUAAAAGACGGUAGCAUUCCUGAAAAUGAAAGAG
Rhineura floridana is the source of this 130-nucleotide long non-coding RNA. RefSeq lists it as uncharacterized. The transcript has 2 exons. The record is from RefSeq and is a predicted model, not a curated record. NCBI's taxonomy places the organism in Eukaryota, Metazoa, Chordata, Lepidosauria, Squamata, Rhineuridae.